AUUGAACGCUGGCGGCAUGCCUUACACAUGCAAGUCGAACGGCAGCACGGGUGCUUGCACCUGGUGGCGAGUGGCGAACGGGUGAGUAAUACAUCGGAACGUACCUUAUCGUGGGGGAUAACGCAGCGAAAGCUGUGCUAAUACCGCAUACGCCCUGAGGGGGAAAGCGGGGGAUCGCAAGACCUCGCGCGAUUAGAGCGGCCGAUGCCUGAUUAGCUAGUUGGUGGGGUAAAAGCCCACCAAGGCGACGAUCAGUAGCUGGUCUGAGAGGACGAUCAGCCACAGUGGGACAGAGACACGGCCCAGACUCCUACGGGAGGCAGCAGUGGGGAAUUUUGGACAAUGGGGGCAACCCUGAUCCAGCAAUGCCGCGUGAGUGAAGAAGGCCUUCGGGUUGUAAAGCUCUUUUGUCAGGGAAGAAACACCGGCUCUAACACAGUCCGGGAAUGACGGUACCUGAAGAAUAAGCACCGGCUAACUACGUGCCAGCCGCCGCAGUAA
RNAcentral lists this ribosomal RNA (501 nucleotides) under uncultured bacterium. Its description in RNAcentral is "partial 16S ribosomal RNA". It matches the Rfam family "Bacterial small subunit ribosomal RNA", at positions 29 to 523 of the family's 1533-position model. The record is from RNAcentral.